GCCGAGCUCAGUAACGUGGGCUUGUAACCCAAGUGGGGGCAUUAAUGUGGUGGAAUAUUGGGCCUGUUCAGAUGGCAGGGUUUGGGUGGCUAAUUUCUGGCCUGCCCUAUCCAAGCUCAGAGUUGGGUCAUGUGGCCCAAACGAAGGUAUGGGCCCGCUUGGCUCCUAAAGUGGAGUGGACCGCGUGAGGCUGGUUUCACAGAACAACGAAUAGCUCCCGCUCUGUGCAGUGGAAGGAUAACGGGUCGAUGUCAUCUAAGCCCAAUAAAUGCCUGAUGGGCUGCUCUAAUUAAACCACCACUUUU
Molecule: signal recognition particle RNA, 305 nt
Filed under: Nicotiana attenuata
Lineage: Eukaryota; Viridiplantae; Streptophyta; Magnoliopsida; Solanales; Solanaceae
Description: SRP RNA Plant_SRP
Rfam family: Plant signal recognition particle RNA
Source: Rfam by way of RNAcentral